CUUGGUAUUUUCAGCAGUUUCAUAGUGAUUCUCAAACAUCCUUCAAGUCUUAUAAAGUGCGAUUAAGCCCCAUCUUUUCCAAAGUGUAUGUAUGAUUCUAAGAACUUUACAUUUAUCCAUGUUAAAUGUCAGGCCUCUGGGCCCAAGCCUACAUGCAUACAUCCAGAUGGCCUGAAGUAACUGAAGAAUGACAAAAGAAGUGAAAAUGGCCGGUUCCUGCCUUAACUGAUGACGUUACCUUGUGAAAUUCCUUCUCCUGGCUCAGAAGCUCCCCCACUGAGCACCUUGUGACCCCCCACCCCUGCCCGCCAGAGAACAACCCCCUUUGACUGUAAUUUUCCACUACCUACCCAAAUCCUAUAAAACGUCCCCACCCCUAUCUCCCUUCACUGACUCUCUUUUUGGACUCAGCCCGCCUGCACCCAGGUGAUUAAAAAGCUUUCUUGCUCACACAAAGCCUGUUUGGUGGUCUCUUCGCAUGGACACACGUGAUAUUUGGUGCUGUGACUCAGAUCAGGGGACCUCCCUUGGGAAAUCAAUCCCCUGUCCCCCUGCUCUUUGCUCCAUGAGAAAGAUCCACCCAUGACCUCUGGUCCUCAGACCAACAAGCCCAAGGAACAUCUCACCGAUUUUAAAUUGGAAGACAGGAAUGUCAGGCCUCUGGGCCCAGGCCUGCACGUAUACAUCUAGAUGACCUGAAGUAACUGAAGAAAGACAAAAGAAGUGAAAAUGGCCGGUUCCUGCCUUAACUGAUGACGUUACCUUGUGAAAUUCCUUCUCCUGGCUCAGAAGCUCCCCCACUGAGCACCUUGUGACCCCCCACCGCUGCCCGCCAGAGAACAACCCCCUUUGACUGUAAUUUUCCACUACCUACCCAAAUCCUAUAAAACGUCCCCACCCCAUCUCCCUUCACUGACUCUCUUUUCGGACUCAGCCUGCCUGCACCCAGGUGAUUAAAAA
This 960-nucleotide long non-coding RNA is filed under the name Homo sapiens (human). Its description in RNAcentral is "HSALNT0082182". The record is from RNAcentral. Lineage: Eukaryota; Metazoa; Chordata; Mammalia; Primates; Hominidae.